UACGCUAGCCGCUGAAUUGUAAGUUCGGGUGAAGUGAGGCAAUGACUAGAGUGGCGAACUGGUGAGUAACACGUAAGAAACCUGCCCUUUAGUGGGGGAUAACAUUUGGAAACAGAUGCUAAUACCGCGUAACAACAAAUCACACAUGUGAUCUGUUUGAAAGGUCCUUUUGGAUCGCUAGAGGAUGGUCUUGCGGCGUAUUAGCUUGUUGGUAGGGUAGAAGCCUACCAAGGCAAUGAUGCGUAGCCGAGUUGAGAGACUGGCCGGCCACAUUGGGACUGAGACACUGCCCCAAACUCAUACGGGAGGCUGCAGUAGGGAAUUUUCCGCAAUGCACGAAAGUGUGACGGAGCGACGCCGCGUGUGUGAUGAAGGCUUUCGGGUCGUAAAGCACUGUUGUAAGGGAAGAAUAACUGAAUUCAGAGAAAGUUUUCAGCUUGACGGUACCUUACCAGAAAGGGAUGGCUAAAUACGUGCCAGCAGCCGCGGUAAUACGUAUGUCCCGAGCGUUAUCCGGAUUUAUUGGGCGUAAAGCGAGCGCAGACGGUUUAUUAAGUCUGAUGUGAAAUCCCGAGGCCCAACCUCGGAACUGCAUUGGAAACUGAUUUACUUGAGUGCGAUAGAGGCAAGUGGAACUCCAUGUGUAGCGGUGAAAUGCGUAGAUAUGUGGAAGAACACCAGUGGCGAAAGCGGCUUGCUAGAUCGUAACUGACGUUGAGGCUCGAAAGUAUGGGUAGCAAACGGGAUUAGAUACCCCGGUAGUCCAUACCGUAAACGAUGGGUGCUAGUUGUUAAGAGGUUUCCGCCUCCUAGUGACGUAGCAAACGCAUUAAGCACCCCGCCUGAGGAGUACGGCCGCAAGGCUAAAACUUAAAGGAAUGACGGGGACCCGCACAAGCGGUGGGCAUGUGGUUUACUUCGAAGAUACGC
RNAcentral lists this ribosomal RNA (930 nucleotides) under Oenococcus oeni. Its description in RNAcentral is "bacterial SSU rRNA". It matches the Rfam family "Bacterial small subunit ribosomal RNA", at positions 54 to 962 of the family's 1533-position model. Lineage: Bacteria; Bacillati; Bacillota; Bacilli; Lactobacillales; Lactobacillaceae. The record is from RNAcentral.